Molecule: long non-coding RNA, 4833 nt
Organism: Paramisgurnus dabryanus
Lineage: Eukaryota; Metazoa; Chordata; Actinopteri; Cypriniformes; Cobitidae
Source: RefSeq, a predicted model, not a curated record
UCACUAACACACUUAAGGACACUUUUUAAAAAUGCACUUUGUAAUAAUAUCUAAUUAAUUUUAAAUUAUAGUAAGUACACUUUCAACAUAAUAUUUAUAAACACACUUAAGUGGACUUUUAAAAAUGCACUUUUUAAUACUGUCUAAUUAAGCUUAACUUAUAGUAAGUACACUUUCAUCACAAUAUUUCUUAACAUACCUAAUUACACUUUUUAAAAAUGCACUUUGUCUAAUUUAGUUUUACUUAAAUGUAACCCUGGUUAAAUAAUUAAAUAUUAUUAUUUUAAAAGUGUGCUUAAAUAUAAUAGAGACUAUUCAUACAUCUACAUUUAUUUUAUAAAUGAGGAAAUACAUGUGAAUAAUUCAAUCUGAAUUAUAAAUCUGAAAUGAGUAAACCAAUCAGAGUGUUUAAUUGUAAGCUCCGCCCUUUUUUUGCUUUCAGAUCGAGUCUCAGUUCAGACUGAGAGAUGCAGAGCGACAGAGACACUCGAUCUGACGCGAGAGUGUUUAUUUUGAUUAAAUAUGACUCCUAAGUUCAUAUAAACUGAAGAAAUCAGAAUUUAACAUGCAUAUAUUCAAUUAUACAGCGUGAUUGUGUGGAUUGAGCACUUUUUGAGCUUUCAUUUUGUACCUGUGUGAUUAUGUAAAACCACAUGGUGCGUUGUGUUCACUGCUGUUCGCUGACGCCAUUUUGGUUGCACGUGCCUGUGAAAGACUAAAAGAGAAGGAAACACGUGAAUGGACAGGUAUUUGUCUAAAUUGUCAUUUAUUAUGAUGAUGGCACUUAUGUAUGUAUUUUAUUUGUUUCCUUUAUUAUGUAGAAUUGUUAAUCAUUAUUGAUACACAAUAUUGAUGAACAUUCCUUGAGCUGGAUUUUCCUAAUUGAUGGCGAGCCUCCCAUUUCGACUUGAUUGGAUCACGAAUCUAGAGGAAAGGACAAUUUUCUAUUUUAAAUAUUUUUCUUCAGACAAGUAAGAGGAUACAUUUCAGAAACUGUUUCCUUAUUUUGUUUGUUUACUUUAUUGAAAUGAAACAUUUCAGAAGCACAAUUCUGAUAAUUUAAGACUGAUCAAUACUCCAAUUGAUAAGAACUUUGAACUUGAAUACUGAUUUCAGUGUGUUACAUAUAUAAUUUGUACCAUCUUUGUACAUUGAUUGUGACUGAUUUCUGUAAAUGAGAAGUAAUUUAGAGGGUGCACCCAUAGUAUAUAUAGUUAAUUGUAUUUUCAUUGUUGUUACUAUUUUUGUGAUUAAGGAAAGAAAAAGAAAGGUUUCUCAAUACUCAAAGUAAAAUAAUUUAUUAAUCAACUUACCUUCUGUCUCUGCUUGUUGCUCACUAUCACUGCUACCUCCUCCUUCGUACCGUGCACCCUUCUGAUCUUAUUAUUAUGCCUGGUCCAUAAGUAAGUGAGUUAAUACCCGCUACAUAAAGAAAGUACACUUUCAUGGCAAUAUUUCUAAACACAUUUAAUAAAUGAUCAUUAGACUGAUGUGACCUACCAAAGACUUGUUAAUUUAAAGUUCAUGCAGUUCUUUUUUAGUUGUCUGUUAAAAUGUAAAAAAAUUAUAACUUUGAGUUUAUUUUUUUCUAAGGGAUGUAAUUAUUCAAUAUUGAUAGUUGUUUGUUUGAUUCCAAUUUAACAAUAUUAAAAUGAGUUUUUUUUUUUUUUUUGGACAUAUACAACUCAUAAUUAAUUUAUUAAAUGUACUUUUGCAAAACAAAAAAUCUGAUUCAUAAUUUGACUACCAAACUGUUUUAUUGUCAGUGUAAGCAUUGUGGUUUUUGUUUGUUUGCAAUGCAUUAAACUGAAAUGAAUACAUAUUUAAUUAACUAGAUUUGUUUUUCAGUAUUUUGAGAAGUACAUAACCAUAUUUCACAUACAAUAGAAGUAGUGAAAGUACAUACUGUAGAAAGAUGCAUUGAAAUCACUUCACUGCACUGAAAUCACAGUUCAACUGAUUUAAUUUUAUAUAUUUGAAUUUAUUUGGCAAACUUUUAUUUGAAACAUUACAUUUAAUGAGUAAUUAAAUGUACUGUUAAUAUACAUUAACUUAUUUUUAAUUUCACAUUAAUUGCUUGACAGUAGAUUGAACAGUGCACUUUAAGUAUAUUCUAAAAACACUAGAAGCAAUUAUGAAAGUAGAUAUAAAGUUGUAAUAAAGUACCAAUUAAGUUGUUCCAAAAAAUCACUCUUAAUGGCAACUUAUUACAUUUUAUUUCAACUUAAUAUAUGAUAUAUGUGAAAUUAAUUACACUUAAUGUGCAUUUAGUGCGCCGAAAAGAUUGCAUUUAAUUCACACUUAAGAGUAUUGUUAACAGACAUUAAAUUGCAUUUUAAAUCACAUUAAUUUCAUGUCUUUCUAUUGUGUAGUGGACUUUAAGUAUAUUUUAAAAACACUAGAAGCAAUUAUGAAAGUAGAUAUAAAGUUGUAAUAAAGUACCAAUUAAGUUGUUCCAAAAAAUCACUCUUAAUGGCAACUUAUUACAUUUUAUUUCAACUUAAUAUAUGAUAUAUGUGAAAUUAAUUACACUUAAUGUGCAUUUAGUGCGCCGAAAAGAUUGCAUUUAAUUCACACUUAAGAGUAUUGUUAACAGACAUUAAAUUGCAUUUUAAAUCACAUUAAUUUCAUGUCUUUCUAUUGUGUAGUGGACUUUAAGUAUAUUUUAAAAACACUAGAAGCAAUUAUGAAAGUAGAUAUAAAGUUGUAAUAAAGUACCAAUUAAGUUGUUCCAAAAAAUCACUCUUAAUGGCAACUUAUUACAUUUUAUUUCAACUUAAUAUAUGAUAUAUGUUAAAUUAAUUACACUUAAUGUGCAUUUAGUGCGCCGAAAAGAUUGCAUUUAAUUCACACUUAAGAGUAUUGUUAACAGACAUUAAAUUGCAUUUUAAAUCACAUUAAUUUCAUGUCUUUAUAUUGUGUAGUGCACUUUAAGUAUAUUUUAAAAACACUAGAAGCAAUUAUGAAAGUAGGUAUAAAGUUGUAAUAAAGUACCAAUUAAGUUGUUCCAAAAAAUCACUCUUAAUGGCAACUUAUUACAUUUUAUUUCAACUUAAUAUAUGAUAUAUGUUAAAUUAAUUACACUUAAUGUGCAUUCAGUGCGCCGAAAAGAUUGCAUUUAAUUCACACUUAAGUGUAUAUACUUAAAGUGUAUUAUUUAUGUAAUAAGUACACUUUAUAAAAGUACACUUAAGCACACUUUUUUUUCACAAGGGUAUUUACACGAGUGUAUGCAAAAAAAGCAACGUUUUCCUAUAACAUACAAAGAAACACAAUAUCUUUAAAUUAAUCAAAUGCUUCCUCGGGCAAAGAACAUCUUUUCCCGAUUUUCCGCGUCUCCUUCAGUGCUAGACGGACGGAUUCUUCAUCUGCAGCAGCUGCAUUCUAAAAGAAACCAUUACAAAAAUAAGGAAAAAUUAAUUUUACAAACUAUGUCAUAUGUUUUCUUUGUUUCCUCAAUAUAACUCUGAUUAGAAUGUCAAACAAAGAUAAAAUCAUCCGUAUUAAUCGUCAAUAUCGUGUAUAUAUGAGCGUCUUUGCGUUAAAUUCGUGGUACACCACACCAUGCACUUAUAUCGACGUCGCAAUGCAAAAGAAGAAGGGCAAGAAAGAAACCUGUCCUGGUCUGGCGAUUUAAGGGAACAUUUGUUUAAGGUAUGUAAUACAUUUUAAUAAUGCUGGGUGUGGGAUCAGUUAACUAGAAAUUUCGUUGAUAAUAAGCAAUGUAUGUACAGUAACUAGCUAGUUCACGUUAGAUAUUUUAUUCACGUGUCUGUGGUUAUUUUAGGUUUUUGAUAGUUAAUUUCACUGAUAGUUUGAGCCCGUGUAAAUUUCUUAAAAAGCUGUAAUUAUUAUUUUAUUUAACAUUAUUAUGUUUGCUGUCAAGACUGAUAUUUAUUUAUAUAUAUUUAUUGAGGUUGAUAUGUAAACUUAACCUACUCAGUUGUACUUGACUAAUGCAAUAUUGACAGGUCCACCUGUUUAAGUAUAUUGUAAAACAUUUGAACAUAACAACAUUUGGACAUAACAUACACACAUUGUUUCCGCCUGCAUCAAUUUAGUUGUAUAGCUGCAUUGCUGGUUAACACCUCUGGGUAGAUUCUCCAUGUUCUUCUUUUAUGUGUAGCUGCUCACCUUAAACAGAUACAGUACAUUGAAGUAAUGUUUAAAACAAAUUAAGCCCUAUAAUAUUGUUUAUGUUUACAAUAAUUGGUAAAAAGUUUGACGGAUAAAAUGGUUCUUACCAUUCUCUAUAUAAGCCCCUCUGUUAACUUUUGUUUGAGCCUGUCUAGAUCUUUUAUCAGUCUAGAAAGAUGUUGGAGAAAAGACAUCAUCCUCUUCUAUAAUCUCCAUCUGUAAUUGGACUAACAACUGGACCAGUGAAUGCAGGCAACUUACUCUCCAUUCGACCUUGCAGGUCACACCAUGGUCUCAAGAGGGAAAAUGAGUGCUCUAUGGAUUGAACAGAAAAGGUGAAUCAAAACUCCAACCAUCUGUAUGAGGGUCUGGAUGGAUAAAGGAUGCCCACUGGAGCUGGAAAUGAUGGUGGAUCCACACUUGAACCAUCUGUAUGAUGAUCUGCACCCACUGGAUCUGUAAAUGGUGGUGCAGGUUUCUGAAUUGAUGUCAGAUGCAAAGCAGAAGCUUAUUUUCUUCCAGUUUGGCUUCUUUGUGGAAAAAUGCUUGAAACUAAAAUGCAGAAUUCUGGCCUGGUGUUUGGUCCCCCCUUUCUCUGGCUUGUGUCUCCAUCAUCAUUACACUCUUGUCAGUGUAAUAGUAUCAUCGUCUGCGUACCAGGACUUUCUCCUUCAAGCUACAUUUUUGUCAAGCUGC